AUAAAUAGUGAAAAUAUAUACCCUAAAUUGGAAAUAAAGAACCCAAAUAUAAUACUACAAACUAAUUGUGUUUGGCUUGAGUGUUGUGUGAAUGUUAAAUCCCGUUGGCUUUACUGUUGCUUCAUAAAUCUCUCAUAGAAAGUGUGCUUCAUAGACUAUGUUGUGUAUUGCUGAUUUUGGAAGGUGCAUAAUGUCCAAACACAAUCUAGUGGUUCAGUCUAUGAUUACAUUGCCUCCUACUAGAUACGGGAAAGAAGAUUGCAAGAUAUGUGGAUCAAUCAACAAUCAUUCAAAAUUUAGUUACUUGAAGACCGUUAAAGAAAUCCUCUCUGACUCUUUAUUCAGUAGGCUGAAAACUACUUUUCUUGUCCCAAUCAUCAAACAGGAUUGAGAAAAGCAACUGGUAAUCAAAAAGGAGUUAAUGGCUUGGGUUUUUCUGGUCAGCUGGUUUACUUUCUGGUAGUAAGACAACUUGUGUCGUCAAAGAAAGACGAGCUUUGGUUUUGCAUCAACAACAAGUCGAUGAGAUUUUCAUUGACUGAGGUUCAUCUUGUCACGGGAUUACCAUGUUGGAUAAAAGAAGAUGAAAUCUCAGUAGAUUUUGAGUGUGAUUGGCCUUUGUCUCCUUGCAAAACCCCUAUCAAGGUGGAUUAUUUGAUAGCACAAUUGAAGGUAUUGGAUGAUGAAGAAAGCAAGCUACAGCUUGUUAUGUUGAUUGUUAUUUUAAUCGUCUUCAUGUUGUCAUAUGGCAUUACAAAGCACUCGGUUCCGAAGGAAUUUUGGCUAAUGCGAAAAAGAAUAUUCAUGCGUAUCCUUGGGAAAAGAUGCAUUUGACAUGCUGGUAUCGUCGGUAAAGGAUGAUGAUAAUACGAAAAA
This 876-nucleotide small RNA is filed under the name Arabidopsis thaliana (thale cress). Its description in RNAcentral is "ATSL154880". Lineage: Eukaryota; Viridiplantae; Streptophyta; Magnoliopsida; Brassicales; Brassicaceae. The record is from RNAcentral.